Molecule: ribosomal RNA, 483 nt
Filed under: uncultured bacterium
Lineage: Bacteria
Description: bacterial SSU rRNA
Rfam family: Bacterial small subunit ribosomal RNA
Source: RNAcentral
AUUGAACGCUGGCGGAAUGCUUUACACAUGCAAGUCGAACGGUAGAGGGGGCAACCCCUCGAGAGUGGCGAACGGGUGAGUAAUAUAUCGGAACGUGCCCAGUCGUGGGGGAUAACGUAGCGAAAGUUACGCUAAUACCGCAUACGAUCUACGGAUGAAAGCGGGGGACUCGCAAGAGCCUCGCGCGAUUGGAGCGGCCGAUAUCAGAUUAGGUAGUUGGUGGGGUAAAGGCUCACCAAGCCAACGAUCUGUAGCUGGUCUGAGAGGACGACCAGCCACACUGGAACUGAGACACGGUCCAGACUCCUACGGGAGGCAGCAGUGGGGAAUUUUGGACAAUGGACGCAAGUCUGAUCCAGCCAUUCCGCGUGCAGGAUGAAGGCCCUCGGGUUGUAAACUGCUUUUGUACGGAGCGAAAAGGCUCUCUCUAAUACAGGGGGUUCGAUGACGGUACCGUAAGAAUAAGCACCGGCUAACUACGUG